GCCAUACCGCGUGGGUGAAGAAGGCCUAUCGGGUUGUAAAGCCCUUUUGUUGGGAAAGAAAAGCAGCCAGUUAAUACCUGGUUGUUCUGACGGUACCCAAAGAAUAAGCACCGGCUAACUUCGUGCCAGCAGCCGCGGUAAUACGAAGGGUGCAAGCGUUACUCGGAAUUACUGGGCGUAAAGCGUGCGUAGGUGGUUGUUUAAGUCUGUUGUGAAAGCCCUGGGCUCAACCUGGGAAUUGCAGUGGAUACUGGGCGACUAGAGUGUGGUAGAGGGUAGUGGAAUUCCUGGUGUAGCAGUGAAAUGCGUAGAGAUCAGGAGGAACAUCCAUGGCGAAGGCAGCUACCUGGACCAACACUGACACUGAGGCACGAAAGCGUGGGGAGCAAACAGGAUUAGAUACCCUGGUAGUCCACGCCCUAAACGAUGCGAACUGGAUGUUGGGUGCAAUUUGGCACGCAGUAUCGAAGCUAACGCGUUAAGUUCGCCGCCUGGGGAGUACGGUCGCAAGACUGAAACUCAAAGGAAUUGACGGGGGCCCGCACAAGCGGUGGAGUAUGUGGUUUAAUUCGAUGCAACGCGAAGAACCUUACCUGGCCUUGACAUGUCGAGAACUUUCCAG
RNAcentral lists this ribosomal RNA (622 nucleotides) under Stenotrophomonas sp. Ri3Pw_6278. RNAcentral's name for it is "bacterial SSU rRNA". It matches the Rfam family "Bacterial small subunit ribosomal RNA", at positions 391 to 1003 of the family's 1533-position model. Lineage: Bacteria; Pseudomonadati; Pseudomonadota; Gammaproteobacteria; Lysobacterales; Lysobacteraceae. The record is from RNAcentral.